RNAcentral lists this ribosomal RNA (52 nucleotides) under Pseudomonas panipatensis. RNAcentral's name for it is "23S rRNA. Bacterial LSU". Lineage: Bacteria; Pseudomonadati; Pseudomonadota; Gammaproteobacteria; Pseudomonadales; Pseudomonadaceae. The record is from RNAcentral. RNAcentral also lists the same sequence under 2 other names.
CGCUGUGAGGCGUUGAGCUAACCAAUACUAAUUGCCCGUGAGGCUUGACCAU